RNAcentral lists this ribosomal RNA (359 nucleotides) under uncultured bacterium. Its description in RNAcentral is "bacterial SSU rRNA". It matches the Rfam family "Bacterial small subunit ribosomal RNA", at positions 328 to 686 of the family's 1533-position model. The record is from RNAcentral.
GGUCCAGACUCCUACGGGAGGCAGCAGUGGGGAAUAUUGCACAAUGGGGGAAACCCUGAUGCAGCGACGCCGCGUGAGUGAAGAAGUAUUUCGGUAUGUAAAGCUCUAUCAGCAGGGAAGAAAUAGCGACCUUUGGGUCGCCAGACGGUACCUGAUUAAGAAGCCCCGGCUAACUACGUGCCAGCAGCCGCGGUAAUACGUAGGGGGCAAGCGUUAUCCGGAUUUACUGGGUGUAAAGGGAGCGUAGACGGCACCGCAAGUCUGGAGUGAAAUCCCAUGGCUUAACCAUGGAACUGCUUUGGAAACUGUGCAGCUAGAGUGCAGGAGAGGUAAGCGGAAUUCCUAGUGUAGCGGUGAAA